CAGCCGCCGCGGUAAUACGUAGGGGGCGAGCGUUGUCCGGAAUCAUUGGGCGUAAAGCGCGCGCAGGCGGUCCCUUAAGUCUGAUGUGAAAUCUUGCGGCUCAACCGCAAGAGGUCAUUGGAAACUGGGGGACUUGAGUGCAGGAGAGGGAAGCGGAAUUCCAUGUGUAGCGGUGAAAUGCGUAGAGAUAUGGAGGAACACCAGUGGCGAAGGCGGCUUCCUGGCCUGUAACUGACGCUCAGGCGCGAAAGCGUGGGGAGCAAACAGGAUUAGAUACCCUGGUAGUCCACGCCGUAAACGAUGAGUGCUAGGUGUUGGAGGGGUUUCCCCUUCAGUGCUGGAGCUAACGCAUUAAGCACUCCGCCUGGGGAGUACGGCCGCAAGGCUGAAACUUAAAGGAAUUGGCGGG
This 409-nucleotide ribosomal RNA is filed under the name uncultured microorganism. Its description in RNAcentral is "bacterial SSU rRNA". It matches the Rfam family "Bacterial small subunit ribosomal RNA", at positions 509 to 917 of the family's 1533-position model. The record is from RNAcentral.